GACGAACGCUGGCGGCGUGCUUAACACAUGCAAGUCGAACGGUGAAGCGCCUUCCUUUUUGGUGGGUGUGGAUGAGUGGCGAACGGGUGAGUAACACGUGAGUAACCUGCCCCCUUCUUCUGGAUAACCGCAUGAAAGUGUGGCUAAUACGGGAUAUUCUGGGUCUGUCGCAUGAUGGGUCUGGGAAAGAUAUUGUUUCGGUGGGGGAUGGGCUCGCGGCCUAUCAGCUUGUUGGUGGGGUGAUGGCCUACCAAGGCGGUGACGGGUAGCCGGCCUGAGAGGGUGGACGGUCACACUGGGACUGAGACACGGCCCAGACUCCUUCGGGAGGCAGCAGUGGGGAAUAUUGCACAAUGGGCGCAAGCCUGAUGCAGCGACGCCGCGUGAGGGAUGGAGGCCUUCGGGUUGUGAACCUCUUUCGCCAGUGAAGCAGGCCUGCCUCGUUUGUGGGUGGGUUGACGGUAGCUGGAUAAGAAGCGCCGGCUAACUACGUG
This 494-nucleotide ribosomal RNA is filed under the name uncultured bacterium. RNAcentral's name for it is "partial 16S ribosomal RNA". It matches the Rfam family "Bacterial small subunit ribosomal RNA", at positions 28 to 507 of the family's 1533-position model. The record is from RNAcentral.